This 551-nucleotide ribosomal RNA is filed under the name uncultured bacterium. RNAcentral describes it as "bacterial SSU rRNA". It matches the Rfam family "Bacterial small subunit ribosomal RNA", at positions 9 to 561 of the family's 1533-position model. The record is from RNAcentral.
GAGUUUGAUCCUGGCUCAGGAUGAACGCUGGCGGGAGGCUUAACACAUGCAAGUCGAGGGGUAUAAGUAGCAAUAUUUAGAGACCGGCGCACGGGUGAGUAACGCGUAUGCAACCUGCCCUUUACAGGGGGAUAGCCCGUAGAAAUGCGGAUUAAUACCCCAUAGUACUAUUGGAUCGCAUGGUUUGAUAGUUAAAGUUUCGGCGGUAAAGGAUGGGCAUGCGUGACAUUAGCUAGUUGGUGAGGUAACGGCUCACCAAGGCUACGAUGUCUAGGGGUUCUGAGAGGAAGAUCCCCCACACUGGUACUGAGACACGGACCAGACUCCUACGGAAGGCAGCAGUGAGGAAUAUUGGUCAAUGGGCGGGAGCCUGAACCAGCCAUCCCGCGUGCAGGAAGAAUGCCCUAUGGGUUGUAAACUGCUUUUUCGCAUGAAGAACACUCCGGUCGUGACCGGAGCUGACGGUAAUGCGUGAAUAAGCACCGGCUAACUCCGUGCCAGCAGCCGCGGUAAUACGGAGGGUGCAAGCGUUAUCCGGAUUUAUUGGGUUU